Molecule: long non-coding RNA, 886 nt
Filed under: Gossypium barbadense (sea-island cotton)
Lineage: Eukaryota; Viridiplantae; Streptophyta; Magnoliopsida; Malvales; Malvaceae
Description: long non-coding RNA (GBAR_LNC022227)
Source: RNAcentral
AAAACGACUCUGAACCUCUCCCCUUUUCUCCAGGCACCGGCCUCUGGUUUGGUCAUCGGUCGGUCGUCGACCACUGCACCGGUCACUAAUUUCUGGGGCCGGCACCAUCGUAUGCGGUGGUCGAAAAAGGGAGAAUCUCAGAUCCUGUCCCUCCGAAACCUCUAAAAGCAAACUCAGGCUCAAAACCCUCAAAGUAUUCUUAGAAACACCUCAAAAUCCCGAGAAACCUUUCGAUCUCCAACCGUCUUUCCUCAAAGACGGUUCCUCAGCCGUUCACGGUGAUCAGGGCUUAAAAACCAGGUUAUUUCUUCCCUCCUAUAUUAUUUAUAUGUAUAUAAACAAUAAAAAUAAACACAUAUAACAGAAAAAAAUAAAAUAGGGAUACAAGUAUCAACCUUUAAUCGAUUAUUCUCUCUGUAUUGCGAAAAUAAAAGUCUCUGUUUUUAUUUGAUUUCUGAAUUUCCCCGGUCUUGGUACAGUGUUCGUAAUGGCUUUUUAUAGCCGAAAUAAGAAUAAAAAGAAAUCUAAAGAAAAUCUGUUUGAUCUGCAAAUUUUUUAUUCUCUUUCCUUUUGUUGUUUAUUUCCUUGCAGGUGAAGAUCGCAGAGAUUCGGAGGACUUGUCUUGCGGCGCUGUUGAAUAUUAGAAACCCUAGGGUUUCUUCAUCUAUUUUGGGCCGCGUUUGUAACUGGGCCACCAUUUGAAAUCGGGCCAUGUAUUUUGUCUUGUAAUUGGGCUUGUAAAAACUAGACUUUAUUUGUUUAUUGUGGGCCGGGUAAAAAAUUGGGUAUUCCACAACCAGUUAAGCAAUUCUUCACUACUUCAUUUAUGGCUGGAUUUAAACGGUGCUUUGCAUCCACCACUGGUUUCUUUCCUUCCUCUAGUCUA